GGCCCCGUAGCUCAUCUGGAUAGAGCACAAGUUUCCUAAACUUGGGGCAGCAGGUUCGAGUCCUGCCGGGGUCGCCA
This 77-nucleotide transfer RNA is filed under the name Azospirillum lipoferum. RNAcentral's name for it is "tRNA_Arg_CCT". It matches the Rfam family "tRNA". Rfam says of the family: Transfer RNA (tRNA) molecules are approximately 80 nucleotides in length. Their secondary structure includes four short double-helical elements and three loops (D, anti-codon, and T loops). Further hydrogen bonds mediate the characteristic L-shaped molecular structure. tRNAs have two regions of fundamental functional importance: the anti-codon, which is responsible for specific mRNA codon recognition, and the 3' end, to which the tRNAs corresponding amino acid is attached (by aminoacyl-tRNA synthetases). tRNAs cope with the degeneracy of the genetic code in two manners: having more than one tRNA (with a specific anti-codon) for a particular amino acid; and 'wobble' base-pairing, i.e. permitting non-standard base-pairing at the 3rd anti-codon position. The record is from RNAcentral. RNAcentral also lists the same sequence under 1 other name. Lineage: Bacteria; Pseudomonadati; Pseudomonadota; Alphaproteobacteria; Rhodospirillales; Azospirillaceae.